CUCCGGCCACACUGGGACUGAGACACGGCCCAGACACCUACGGGAGGCAGCAGUGGGGAAAUUGCACAAUGGGCGCAAGCCUGAUGCAGCGACGCCGCGUGAGGGAUGACGGCCUUCGGGUUGUAAACUCUUUCAGCAGGGACGAAGCGUGAGUGACGGUACCUGCAGAAGAAGCACCGGCCAACACGUGCCAGCAGCCGCGGUAAUACGUAGGGUGCAAGCGUUGUCCGGAAAUUAUGGGCGUAAAGAGCUCGUAGGCGGUUUGUCGCGUCGUCUGUGAAACCAGCAGCACAACUGUUGGCUUGCAGGCGAUACGGGCAGACGAGUAUUUCCGGGGAGACUGGAAUUCCUGGUGUAGCGGUGAAAUGCGCAGAUAUCAGGAGGAAACCGUGGCGAAGGCGGGUUUCUUUGGGAAAUAAACUGACGCUGAGGGAGCGAAAGCGUGGGUAGCGAACAGGAUUAGAUACCCUGGUAGUCCACGCCGUAACGGUGGGCGCAGGUUUGGGUUUCCUUCCACGGGAUCCGUGCCGUAGCUAACGCAUUAAGCGCCCCGCCUGGGGAGUUCGGCCGCAAGGCUAAAACUCAAAGGAAAUGACCGGCCCGCACAAGCGGGGAGCAUGUGGAUUAAUUCGAUGCAACGCGAAGAACCUUACCUGGGUUUGACAUACACCGGAAAGGCCGUGGAGACACGGCCCCCCUUGUGGUCGGUGUACAGGUGGUGCAUGGCUGUCCGUCAGCUCGUGUCGUGAGAUGUUGNNUAAAGUCCCGGAACGAGCGCAACCCUUUCCUGUGUUGCCAGCACGUUAAUGGUGGGGNC
This 817-nucleotide ribosomal RNA is filed under the name Rhodococcus sp. JRI07. RNAcentral's name for it is "bacterial SSU rRNA". It matches the Rfam family "Bacterial small subunit ribosomal RNA", at positions 302 to 1138 of the family's 1533-position model. The record is from RNAcentral. Lineage: Bacteria; Bacillati; Actinomycetota; Actinomycetes; Mycobacteriales; Nocardiaceae.